GACGAACGCUGGCGGCGUGCCUAAUACAUGCAAGUAGAACGCUGAAGAGAGGAGCUUGCUCUUCUUGGAUGAGUUGCGAACGGGUGAGUAACGCGUAGGUAACCUGCCUUGUAGCGGGGGAUAACUAUUGGAAACGAUAGCUAAUACCGCAUAACAAUGGAUGACACAUGUCAUUUAUUUGAAAGGGGCAAUUGCUCCACUACAAGAUGGACCUGCGUUGUAUUAGCUAGUAGGUGAGGUAAUGGCUCACCUAGGCGACGAUACAUAGCCGACCUGAGAGGGUGAUCGGCCACACUGGGACUGAGACACGGCCCAGACUCCUACGGGAGGCAGCAGUAGGGAAUCUUCGGCAAUGGGGGCAACCCUGACCGAGCAACGCCGCGUGAGUGAAGAAGGUUUUCGGAUCGUAAAGCUCUGUUGUAAGUCAAGAACGGGUGUGAGAGUGGAAAGUUCACACUGUGACGGUAGCUUACCAGAAAGGGACGGCUAACUACGUGCCAGCAGCCGCGGUAAUACGUAGGUCCCGAGCGUUGUCCGGAUUUAUUGGGCGUAAAGCGAGCGCAGGCGGUUUGAUAAGUCUGAAGUUAAAGGCUGUGGCUCAACCAUAGUUCGCUUUGGAAACUGUCAAACUUGAGUGCAGAAGGGGAGAGUGGAAUUCCAUGUGUAGCGGUGAAAUGCGUAGAUAUAUGGAGGAACACCGGUGGCGAAAGCGGCUCUCUGGUCUGUAACUGACGCUGAGGCUCGAAAGCGUGGGGAGCGAACAGGAUUAGAUACCCUGGUAGUCCACGCCGUAAACGAUGAGUGCUAGGUGUUGGAUCCUUUCCGGGAUUCAGUGCCGCAGCUAACGCAUUAAGCACUCCGCCUGGGGAGUACGACCGCAAGGUUGAAACUCAAAGGAAUUGACGGGGGCCCGCACAAGCGGUGGAGCAUGUGGUUUAAUUCGAAGCAACGCGAAGAACCUUACCAGGUCUUGACAUCCCGAUGCUAUUUCUAGAGAUAGAAAGUUACUUCGGUACAUCGGUGACAGGUGGUGCAUGGUUGUCGUCAGCUCGUGUCGUGAGAUGUUGGGUUAAGUCCCGCAACGAGCGCAACCCCUAUUGUUAGUUGCCAUCAUUCAGUUGGGCACUCUAGCGAGACUGCCGGUAAUAAACCGGAGGAAGGUGGGGAUGACGUCAAAUCAUCAUGCCCCUUAUGACCUGGGCUACACACGUGCUACAAUGGUUGGUACAACGAGUUGCGAGUCGGUGACGGCGAGCUAAUCUCUUAAAGCCAAUCUCAGUUCGGAUUGUAGGCUGCAACUCGCCUACAUGAAGUCGGAAUCGCUAGUAAUCGCGGAUCAGCACGCCGCGGUGAAUACGUUCCCGGGUCU
This 1369-nucleotide ribosomal RNA is filed under the name uncultured bacterium. RNAcentral's name for it is "bacterial SSU rRNA". It matches the Rfam family "Bacterial small subunit ribosomal RNA", at positions 28 to 1381 of the family's 1533-position model. The record is from RNAcentral.